Molecule: ribosomal RNA, 254 nt
Filed under: uncultured bacterium
Lineage: Bacteria
Description: partial 16S ribosomal RNA
Rfam family: Bacterial small subunit ribosomal RNA
Source: RNAcentral
UACGAAGGGGGCUAGCGUUGCUCGGAAUCACUGGGCGUAAAGCGCACGUAGGCGGAUCUUUAAGUCAGGGGUGAAAUCCCGGAGCUCAACUCCGGAACUGCCUUUGAUACUAGAGAUCUUGAGUCCGGGAGAGGUGAGUGGAACUGCGAGUGUAGGAGGUGAAAUUCGUAGAUAUUCGCAAGAACACCAGUGGCGAAGGCGGCUCACUGGCCCGGUACUGACGCUGAGGUGCGAAAGCGUGGGGAGCAAACAGG